GCCUUAGUAACGGCGAGUGAAGCGGCAACAGCUCAAAUUUGAAAGCUGGCCCUUUCAGGGUCCGCGUUGUAAUUUGUAGAGGAUGAUUCGGCGAGGGCUCCCGCCUAAGUCCCCUGGAACGGGGCGUCAUAGAGGGUGAGAAUCCCGUAUGCGGUGGGCUGCCUUAGCCAUGUGAAUCUCCUUCGACGAGUCGAGUUGUUUGGGAAUGCAGCUCUAAAUGGGAGGUAAAUUUCUUCUAAAGCUAAAUACCGGCCAGAGACCGAUAGCGCACAAGUAGAGUGAUCGAAAGAUGAAAAGCACUUUGGAAAGAGAGUUAAAAAGUACGUGAAAUUGUUGAAAGGGAAGCGCUUGCAACCAGACUUGUCCGCAGUUGCUCAGCCGGUCUCCUGACCGGCGUACUCUUCUGCGGCCAGGCCAGCAUCAGUUCGGGCGGUCGGAUAAAGACCUCGGGAAUGUGGCUCCUCUCGGGGAGUGUUAUAGCCCGGGGUGGAAUGCGGCCAGCCUGGACUGAGGAUCUCGCUUCGGCAAGGAUGCUGGCGUAAUGGUUGUAAGCGGCCCGUCUUGAAACACGGACCAAGGAGUCUAACAUCUAUGC
Molecule: ribosomal RNA, 595 nt
Filed under: Diplodia corticola
Lineage: Eukaryota; Fungi; Ascomycota; Dothideomycetes; Botryosphaeriales; Botryosphaeriaceae
Description: partial large subunit ribosomal RNA
Rfam family: Eukaryotic large subunit ribosomal RNA
Source: RNAcentral